GACGAACGCUGGCGGCGUGCUUAACACAUGCAAGUCGAACGAAGAGCGACGGAAGCUUGCUUCUCUCAAUCUUAGUGGCGAACGGGUGAGUAACGCGUAAUCAACCUGCCCUUCAGAGGGGGACAACAGUUGGAAACGACUGCUAAUACCGCAUACGAUCUAACCUCGGCAUCGAGGAUAGAUGAAAGGUGGCCUCUACAUGUAAGCUAUCACUGAAGGAGGGGAUUGCGUCUGAUUAGCUAGUUGGAGGGGUAACGGCCCACCAAGGCGAUGAUCAGUAGCCGGUCUGAGAGGAUGAACGGCCACAUUGGGACUGAGACACGGCCCAGACUCCUACGGGAGGCAGCAGUGGGGAAUCUUCCGCAAUGGACGAAAGUCUGACGGAGCAACGCCGCGUGAGUGAUGACGGCCGUCGGGUUGUAAAGCUCUGUUAAUCGGGACGAAAGGCCUUCUUGCGAAUAGUGAGAAGGAUUGACGGUACCGGAAUAGAAAGCCACGGCUAACUACGUG
Molecule: ribosomal RNA, 510 nt
Filed under: uncultured bacterium
Lineage: Bacteria
Description: partial 16S ribosomal RNA
Rfam family: Bacterial small subunit ribosomal RNA
Source: RNAcentral